UGCCAGCCGCCGCGGUAAUACGGAGGGGGCGAGCGUUAAUCGGAAUUACUGGGCGUAAAGAGCGCGUAGGUGGAUGUUUAAGUCGGAUGUGAAAGCCCCGGGCUCAACCUGGGAACUGCAUUCGAUACUGGAUGUCUUGAGUAUGGUAGAGGGAAGUGGAAUUUCCGGAGUAGCGGUGAAAUGCGUAGAUAUCGGAAGGAACACCAGAGGCGAAGGCGACUUACUGGGAUAUUUCUGACGCUGAGAAACGAAAGCUAGGGUAGCGAAAGGGAUUAGAUA
RNAcentral lists this ribosomal RNA (279 nucleotides) under uncultured bacterium. RNAcentral's name for it is "partial 16S ribosomal RNA". It matches the Rfam family "Bacterial small subunit ribosomal RNA", at positions 506 to 784 of the family's 1533-position model. The record is from RNAcentral.